Molecule: ribosomal RNA, 253 nt
Filed under: uncultured bacterium
Lineage: Bacteria
Also listed under: 1 other name
Description: partial 16S ribosomal RNA
Rfam family: Bacterial small subunit ribosomal RNA
Source: RNAcentral
UACGGAGGGUGCGAGCGUUAAUCGGAAUUACUGGGCGUAAAGCGCAUGUAGGCGGUUUGAUAAGUCGGAUGUGAAAUCCCUGGGCUUAACCUGGGAAUGGCAUUCGAUACUGUCAGGCUAGAGUAGGAUAGAGGAGAGGGGAAUUCCGCGUGUAGCAGUGAAAUGCGUAGAUAUGCGGAGGAACACCAAUGGCGAAGGCACCUCUCUGGGUCCAUACUGACGCUGAGAUGCGAAAGCGUGGGGAGCAAACAGG